Molecule: long non-coding RNA, 1148 nt
Filed under: Musa acuminata (dwarf banana)
Lineage: Eukaryota; Viridiplantae; Streptophyta; Magnoliopsida; Zingiberales; Musaceae
Description: long non-coding RNA (MACU_LNC006346)
Source: RNAcentral
UUCACUUGCAUUUUCCUCAAGUCAUUAUCCUAACAAUAACCAGACAUGUCCUUUCACUUCCCAGGUAAAUUUCACAUACUCUUGGGUGCAGUGGGCGUGUUCAUCAUUCUCAGUUAUCAACGAGAGAGGAACCAGCCAAUGCCUUCUCAUUGAUCAAAAACACGUCAAUCAAAUGGACAGCCGCCUACUUGAUUUGCUUAGGCAUGCAUUUCCUCUUGUACUAAUACAGCUAAGAAUGUAUCACUAGCCAUCAUCAGUUAAUUAAAAAUAUGCUCUCGUCCAUGUCUUACAACAGGUGGUAUAUUCUUCAAAAUGUCCCAAAGAAGGUAACUCUGCAGCUCCUAUUCAUUCGAUCUGGUAUACAGAGGCAAAUUUUGGCGGAGGAAUUCCCUGAUAUCGGUAGCAGAUUUCUGUAAUCUUUUCAUAAAAGGAUUUCUUGCAACAGAUGGUAUUUUCUUUUUGUACUAAUCAAUCUCUUCUCUUCGUAAAGAUUGCCGUCUCGACUUCAUUCAAAACCCAACUCCAUUAGUGACAGAGUGAAUACAAAGAGGUAUUUCCAUCGAAUGUUCCUUUUUCCUUUUUAAUAGGACCUUUAUAAUAUUUAUUUUCUUUUCUGGACCGGUUUGCAUCUCUUAUCAUGGAAUAGAUGAUGAAACAAUAUAGAUUUGCAGUGUAAACGAACAUGCUUAAAUAAAUGCUCUUAGAGUCGUCACAAACUAAAAUAUUAAGCACAGACGGUCUAAGUAAUAGACAAGCCAGUUCGAUUUCAUAUCUUAUCUUAGACUGUGAAGAAAGAGCAAAACGUCCAUAUAAUUCUCAUAGCUCAUAGGAGAACUCCAGAUAUAAAUAGGAGUGACAAAGAUGAAGAAUAUGGAAAGAUACACAAGUGACAGGAAAAGAAUAUGGUAACUUAACAUAGGGAGAUAAAGUUCACGAUGAAAUGAAAGAAUAAAACUAGAGACAUGCCUCCAACUUACCUGAUGAACGCUACCAUGUACAGAGUGCAUUAUGCUUCAACAAAGGCAAUCACCGGCAACAACUCCAGAAGAAAAAUGAGGAUGGAACUCGACCGGUUCUUCUGAUGAACUCUGCCUGCUGAGCAGUUCUUGCGGCUUGUUGAUUUCUUUUGGCUUCUGCCACGGCACGCA